RNAcentral lists this ribosomal RNA (312 nucleotides) under uncultured bacterium. RNAcentral describes it as "bacterial SSU rRNA". It matches the Rfam family "Bacterial small subunit ribosomal RNA", at positions 28 to 334 of the family's 1533-position model. The record is from RNAcentral.
GAUGAACGCUGGCGGCGUGCUUAACACAUGCAAGUCGAACGGACUUUUAAUGAAACCUAGUGAUUUAAAAGUUAGUGGCGGACGGGUGAGUAACGCGUGGGUAACCUGCCAUAUACAGGGGGAUAACACUUAGAAAUAGGUGCUAAUACCGCAUAAGCGCACAGGAUCGCAUGAUCCGGUGUGAAAACUCCGGUGGUAUAUGAUGGACCCGCGUCUGAUUAGCUAGUUGGUGAGGUAACGGCCCACCAAGGCGACGAUCAGUAGCCGGCCUGAGAGGGUGAACGGCCACAUUGGGACUGAGACACGGCCCAA